RNAcentral lists this long non-coding RNA (1685 nucleotides) under Macaca fascicularis (crab-eating macaque). RNAcentral describes it as "lncRNA (ENSMFAG00000052326.1)". Lineage: Eukaryota; Metazoa; Chordata; Mammalia; Primates; Cercopithecidae. The record is from RNAcentral.
UUUUUUUUUUUUUUUGUAUUUUUAGUAGAGAUGGGGUUUCACCAUGUUGGCCAUGCUGGUCUCGAACUCCUGGCCUCAAGUGAUCCACCCAUCUUGGCCUCUGAAAGUGCUGGGAUUACAGGAGUGAGCCACUGUGCCUGGCCAGAAGUCUAGACAUUCUUAAUUGCUAUUACAGAGCUGCCUCUAGUUAGCUCUAUCUAGACAAUUUAAGCCUUAAUUUUCAUCGCCCUAAAAUGGGAUCUGUAGGACCAGCUAAUCAGAUUGUUAUAAUUCAAUAAGGUAAAGAGUAUAACGGUUUAGUAUAGCGCACAGCAAAAUAUAUAUCUCAAUAAAUGUUUACUUCCUUUUUUUAAUCAGUUGAAGGUUUUGAAAAAUGGUGGAAUAGGAUCCAUAACAAGAUUAGCACCAUGCCUUUCAUAUCAUCAAAGGAAGACUUGGACUUGUUUCCCCGGACUAAUAUAGCAUUGAAAUGUCCACUGGGAAAGCAUGUGAAUCAGCAAUACAGGAAUUCUAGAAGGUAGGAUGUCCAAGAGACAUAAAAAGGGUCAGCCUGAUCCUUGGCAUAUAUGUUGACUGGUUCUACAGAAAAUGCAGGAAAGCUUAGGCAGAAUAUUGCUUGUGUAGAGUCAGACCGGUGAACCUCAAAUUUGGACAGAAGCCUCUGGGAGUCUGGAUUUAGUAGGAUUAUCCUUACCAGUCAUUUCCAGUUACAUAGUGGGUCCCAUACGGAGCAGGUGAAGAAGGCAAACCAACAGAGUUCCCUUUAAACUUCACAAUGAAAACCUGCUUCAGAAGAAUUCAGAGUCACCACAGUAUUUACGUUUGUAAUCCUCCAGUAGAAUAUGUAAACAUGGUCAAAUAUUAUUCUGAAUGCUUCUGUGAGGGUAUUUUUGGAUAAGAUUUACAUUAAAUUCAUUGGCUUUGGGUUAAGGAGAUUAUCCUGUAUAAUAUGAAUGAGUCUUAUUUAAUCAGUUGAAGUCUUGGAAGGAACAAAAGACUGACCUAUCGUAAGGAAGAGGGAAUUCUGCCAGCAGACUGUGUUGGGUGUUAAAUGCAGCGUGGGCUCUGCCCCACCUGAAGCCUGCCUGCCCACCCUGAAGACUUUGGACUUGUCUGCCUCCAUAAUCACAUGAGUCAAUCCCUAAAAUCAAUCUCUUUCUCUUUACAGUCAGUCCUCUAUUUACUAUGAUUCAACUUAGAAAUUUUCAGCUUAAUUAUGGUGUGGAAGUGAUACACAUUCAAUAGAAACCCUACUUUGAAUUUUGAAUUUAGAUCUUUUCCCAGGCUAGCAAUAUGUGGUAUGGAACUCUCUCCCGAUGCUGGGUAGCAGCAGCCAGCCAUGGCUCCCAAUCAGCCACACUAUAGUACUCUAUAGUAGACUGUGUUGCCAGAUGAUUUGGCCCAACUGUAAGCCCAGGUAAGUGUUCUGAGUAUGUUUAAGUAUGUUUAGUUCAUUUUCACACUGCAAUAAAGAGACUGGAUAAUUUAUAAAGAAAAGAGGUUUAAUUGGCUUCCACAGGCUGUACAGAAGACAUGACUGGGAAGUUCUUAGGAAACUUACAAUCAUGGCGGAAGGAUGAAGAGGAAGCAAGCAAAUCUUCACAUGGUGGCAGGAGACAGCGAGCUAAGGAGAGGUGCUACAUACUCUUAAAAAACCAGAUCUUGUGAGAACUCUGUCACAAGAC